CUAAAGCGAACUGCGGAGGAUCAUUA
This 26-nucleotide ribosomal RNA is filed under the name Macrosporia nanlingensis. RNAcentral describes it as "Perenniporia nanlingensis partial 18S ribosomal RNA". Lineage: Eukaryota; Fungi; Basidiomycota; Agaricomycetes; Polyporales; Polyporaceae. The record is from RNAcentral.